This 253-nucleotide ribosomal RNA is filed under the name uncultured bacterium. RNAcentral describes it as "partial 16S ribosomal RNA". It matches the Rfam family "Bacterial small subunit ribosomal RNA", at positions 524 to 776 of the family's 1533-position model. The record is from RNAcentral.
UACGGAAGGGGCUAGCGUUGUUCGGAAUUACUGGGCGUAAAGAGCGCGUAGGCGGCUUACCAAGUUGGGGGUGAAAUCCCGGAGCUCAACUCCGGAACUGCCUUCAAAACUGGUAGGCUCGAGUCCGGAAGAGGGGCGUGGAAUUCCCAGUGUAGAGGUGAAAUUCGUAGAUAUUGGGAAGAACACCGGUGGCGAAGGCGGCGCCCUGGUCCGGUACUGACGCUGAUGCGCGAAAGCGUCGGGAGCCAACAGG